AGUCCCGGCAAACUCCGUGCCAGCAGCCGCGGUAAUACGGAGGGGGCAAGCGUUGUUCGGAAUUAUUGGGCGUAAAGGGCAUGUAGGCGGUUCGGUAAGUUAAAGGUGAAAUGCCAGGGCUUAACCCUGGAGCUGCUUUUAAUACUGCCAGACUCGAGUCCGGGAGAGGAUAGCGGAAUUCCUAGUGUAGAGGUGAAAUUCGUAGAUAUUAGGAGGAACACCAGUGGCGAAGGCGGCUAUCUGGUCCGGUACUGACGCUGAGGUG
RNAcentral lists this ribosomal RNA (265 nucleotides) under uncultured Anaplasma sp. RNAcentral describes it as "partial 16S ribosomal RNA". It matches the Rfam family "Bacterial small subunit ribosomal RNA", at positions 488 to 753 of the family's 1533-position model. The record is from RNAcentral. Lineage: Bacteria; Pseudomonadati; Pseudomonadota; Alphaproteobacteria; Rickettsiales; Anaplasmataceae.